AUUGAACGCUGGCGGCAGGCCUAACACAUGCAAGUCGAACGAGUGGCGGACGGGUGAGUAAUGUCUGAGAAACUGCCCGACGGAGGGGGAUAACUACUGGAAAAGGUAGCUAAUACCGCAUACCAUCGGAUCGGCCCAGAUGGGAUUAGCUAGUAGGUGGGGAAACGGCUCACCUAGGCGACGAUCCCUAGCUGGGCUGAGAGGGUGACCGGCCACACUGGAACUGAGACACGGUCCAUACUCCUACGGGAGGCAGCAGUGGGGAAUAGUGGACAAUGGGCGAAAGCCUGAUGGAGCAAUGCCGCGUGUAUGAAGAAGGCUUUCGGGUUGUAAAGUACUUUCGGCGAGGAGGCGUUACUCGCAGAAGAAGCACCGGCUAACUCCGUGCCAGCAGCCGCGGUAAUUC
Molecule: ribosomal RNA, 406 nt
Filed under: uncultured bacterium
Lineage: Bacteria
Description: partial 16S ribosomal RNA
Rfam family: Bacterial small subunit ribosomal RNA
Source: RNAcentral